Molecule: long non-coding RNA, 1133 nt
Organism: Ostrea edulis (European flat oyster)
Lineage: Eukaryota; Metazoa; Mollusca; Bivalvia; Ostreida; Ostreidae
Exons: 3
Source: RefSeq, a predicted model, not a curated record
UAUGCAUAUUGCGUAGUCAAAACAGAUCGUACGAUCCCACGUGGUAAUGUUUGUAAACAUUACUCGAAAUCCCGAUCUAGUAUAGUAGGAAUAUAUACAUCGACUAUACUAAAGUGGAAGUUAUUUAAAACCUAGACUAGUCUCAACAGUGACAUGUUUGGAUAACAGAACCAUAAAAAUAUCACAUCAGGUAUGGCUAAAAGUAUCUGUGUUUCCGCAGACAAGUCUGCCAUAGCCCAAUUUCAUUCUCCGGGAAAAGUCAAAAUACACCAUCAUGGAAGACAAAUAUCUAUUUAUCCGAAUAUAGAUGAAGAACAAGAGGUCGACACCAAUGAAACAAACGACCAGCAGGAAGCAGAUCAGGAUAAAUGAUAAACAUUCUAGAUCUUUCUCACCGAGAGACGUGUCCACCCACCAGGAAAAAACAUAGCGAUUGAAAGUACCGGAUAUGAAGCCAGCAAUGAUCAACCUUGUACAUAUUAUUUCAUUACUGUCUUGCCAUCUCGAGACCACGAUUCAAAGCAAUGAAUGUGACUGUUACAUGUAACUUGAAGUAGUUUUAUUUGACUAUAAAAGUAAACAUUGUGAUCCGAGAGAAUGAAAAGUUUGAAAAACAUUGACAUGGCAGUGUGUAAAUGUACAUGUAUAUCAAUUCUUUGUAAACCUACAUCAAAUAUGGCUUGAUGUAAUGAGCACACAGUGUUUGAAAUAGCUACACCAUUAUAGACUUUGUAAACCACUGUUGCACUGUUACACAUGGCGCUCUUAUUUAUAGCACUGUUGUAUGUUGCAUGUACGAUACGUGUUGUACGUUACAUGUUGUACGUUAUACAGGUUGUACGUUAUACAUGUUGUACGUUAAAUGUUGUACGUAAUAUGUUGUACGUUAUACAGGUUGUACGUUAUACAGGUUGUACGUUACAUGUUGAACGUUAUACAGGUUGUACGUUACAUGUUGUACGUUAUACAGGUUGUACGUUACAUGUUGUACGAUACGUGUUGUACGUUACAUGCUGUAAGAUAUUUCACGACUUCUUAAACUGUGUGGAAGAGAUAGCAGUUGCAUGAUUUAAUUUCAACGACAACAAAUUAUUCUACCAGUUUUGAAAAUUAAAUGUUGCAUGGAAUACUCA